GAUGAACGCUGGCGGCGUGCCUAAUACAUGCAAGUCGAGCGAACAGACGAGGAGCUUGCUGCUCGGACGAUAGCGGAGGACGGGUGAGUAACACGUGGAUAACCUACCUAUAAGACUGGGAUAACCACGGGAAACCGGAGCUAAUACCGGAUAAGAUAUUGAACCGCAGGGUUCAAUAGUGAAAGACGGCUUUGCUGUCACGUAUAGAGGGAUCCGCGCCGCAUUAGCUAGUUGGUAGGGUAACGGCUUACCAAGGCAACGAUGCGUAGCCGACCUGUGAGGCUGAUCGGCCACACGGGAACGUGGACACGGUCCAUACUCCUACGGGAGGCCGCAGUCGGGAAUGUUCCGCAACGGUCGAAAGCCUGGCGCAGCGACGCCGCGUGAGUUAUGAAGGUCUUCCGUUCGUAAAGCUCUGUUAUUGGGUAAGAACAAAUGUGUAAGUAGCUAUGCACGUCUUGACGGUACCUAAUCAGAAAGCCCCGGCUAACUACGUG
This 497-nucleotide ribosomal RNA is filed under the name uncultured bacterium. RNAcentral describes it as "partial 16S ribosomal RNA". It matches the Rfam family "Bacterial small subunit ribosomal RNA", at positions 28 to 507 of the family's 1533-position model. The record is from RNAcentral.